This 441-nucleotide ribosomal RNA is filed under the name uncultured bacterium. RNAcentral describes it as "partial 16S ribosomal RNA". It matches the Rfam family "Bacterial small subunit ribosomal RNA", at positions 338 to 795 of the family's 1533-position model. The record is from RNAcentral.
CCUACGGGAGGCAGCAGUGGGGGAUAUUGCACAAUGGGGGGAACCCUGAUGCAGCGACGCCGCGUGGGUGAAGGAGUGCUUCGGCAUGUAAAGCCCUAUCGGCAGGGAAGAAGCAAGACGGUACCUGACUAAGAAGCCCCGACUAACUACGUGCCAGCAGCCGCGGUAAUACGUAGGGGGCGAGCGUUAUCCGGAUUCACUGGGUGUAAAGGGAGCGUAGACGGCCAGGCAAGCCAGGGGUGAAAGCCCGGGGCCCAACCCCGGGACUGCCCUUGGAACUGUGCGGCUAGAGUGCGGGAGGGGCAGGCGGAAUUCCUGGUGUAGCGGGGAAAUGCGUAGAUAUCAGGAGGAACACCGGCGGCGAAGGCGGCCUGCUGGACCGCGACUGACGUUGAGGCUCGAAAGCGUGGGGAGCGAACAGGAGUAGAUACCCUUGUAGUC